Molecule: ribosomal RNA, 562 nt
Filed under: Nonomuraea sp. 387H05
Lineage: Bacteria; Bacillati; Actinomycetota; Actinomycetes; Streptosporangiales; Streptosporangiaceae
Description: bacterial SSU rRNA
Rfam family: Bacterial small subunit ribosomal RNA
Source: RNAcentral
GAGCGGCGAACGGGUGAGUAACACGUGAGCAACCUGCCCCUGACUCUGGGAUAAGCCCGGGAAACUGGGUCUAAUACCGGAUACGACCGCCCCCGGCAUCGGGUGGUGGUGGAAAGUUUUUUCGGUUGGGGAUGGGCUCGCGGCCUAUCAGCUUGUUGGUGGGGUAGUGGCCUACCAAGGCGACGACGGGUAGCCGGCCUGAGAGGGCGACCGGCCACACUGGGACUGAGACACGGCCCAGACUCCUACGGGAGGCAGCAGUGGGGAAUAUUGCGCAAUGGGCGGAAGCCUGACGCAGCGACGCCGCGUGGGGGAUGACGGCCUUCGGGUUGUAAACCUCUUUCAGCAGGGACGAAGUUGACGUGUACCUGCAGAAGAAGCGCCGGCUAACUACGUGCCAGCAGCCGCGGUAAUACGUAGGGCGCAAGCGUUGUCCGGAAUUAUUGGGCGUAAAGAGCUCGUAGGUGGCUGGUCGCNGUCUGCCGUGAAAGCCCGCAGCUUAACUGCGGGUCUGCGGUGGAUACGGNCCGGCUAGAGGUAGGUAGGGGCAAGUGGAAUUCCU